CAGACUAUAGCAUAUAUAGUAAUGCCUUUUACUUACGAUAAAAAGAAAAUGA
RNAcentral lists this transfer RNA (52 nucleotides) under Myxobdella sinanensis. Its description in RNAcentral is "tRNA-Val". Lineage: Eukaryota; Metazoa; Annelida; Clitellata; Hirudinida; Hirudinidae. The record is from RNAcentral.